GAUGAAGAACGCAGCGAAAUGCGAUACGUAAUGUGAAUUGCAGAAUUCAGUCAAUCAUCGAGUCUUUGAACGCACAUUGCGCCCCCUGGUAUUCCGGGGGGCAUGCCUGUCCGAGCGUCAUUGCUGCCCUCAAGCACGGCUUGUGUGUUGGGCCUCCGUCCUCCUCCCGGGGGACGGGCCCGAAAGGCAGCGGCGGCACCGCGUCCGGUCCUCGAGCGUAUGGGGCUUCGUCACCCGCUCUUGUAGGCCCGGCCGGCGCUUGCCGACACAUCAAUCUUUUUUCCAGGUUGACCUCGGAUCAGGUAGGGAUACCCGCUGAACUUAAGCAUAUCAAUAAGCGGAGGA
Molecule: unclassified non-coding RNA, 345 nt
Filed under: soil metagenome
Description: partial contains 5.8S ribosomal RNA, internal transcribed spacer 2, and large subunit ribosomal RNA
Rfam family: 5.8S ribosomal RNA (bases 1-120)
Source: RNAcentral